UACAGAGGUCCCAAGCGUUUGUUCGGAUUCACUGGGCGUAAAGGGUGCGUAGGUGGUUAGGUAAGUCCGAUGUGAAAUCUCCAGGCUCAACCUGGAAAUGGCAUUGGAUACUAUCUAGCUCGAGGAGUGGAGGGGGGGACUGGAAUUCCGAGUGUAGAGGUGAAAUUCGUAGAUAUUCGGAAGAACACCAGUGGCGAAGGCGACUCGCUUGGACAGGUAUUGACGCUGAGGUGCGAAAGCGUGGGGAGCAAACAGGG
Molecule: ribosomal RNA, 257 nt
Filed under: uncultured bacterium
Lineage: Bacteria
Description: partial 16S ribosomal RNA
Rfam family: Bacterial small subunit ribosomal RNA
Source: RNAcentral